CGGUGGUGAUGAUGAUGAUGAUGAUGAUGAGGCUUGGUUUGCUGCUCCUCGCCGCUGCCGUCACGUGACUGUACGGAGGAAGGAGGGGGAGGAGCUGAGCAUCACCGGCAGGGGGCGCAGCGAGGACGGCGGCUCGUUGGAUGAAACUCUCUGGCAGAUCUCAGCGUAACUCGGUUUCUUGGACUCCUGGACAACCAGAACACAGAGCAGGAUUCAGAUCAACGUCAUGACCAAUCACAUCCCUCUAAUAUCAUUUUCAAGAACUCAGUUUCUGUUCUCCACAGACGUAGAUUUAAAAGUGGGAUGCACUGGACAUGUUCCUCUCCCUGAAAAGUUAAUGGAAAUCCGUGAGUCUGUUUGUGAGUGAUGUAUUUUAAUUGUAUGAAAAGUGCUGAAUAAAUAAAGUUUGAUUGACUGAUUGAUAACGUUGUGCACAGACAGACAGACGGAUAAAGUAACAGACAGACAAACGUGCUGAUUGUCAUGUAACUCCUCGUUCCUUGGCUCAGUAAAGAUAGUCAACACUGAACAGAACUCAACACUCAAAUGCUGAGUUCACAUUCAGGAUUUUUUUCUCUGAUGUUGCCCUAAAUAAUAUCCUCAUUCUUACGAGUCAACUUAAAGGGAAGAAUUCGAACAAAGGAAAUCUUGGUCGACUGAAAUCGUGUGAAGAAAAACCUGCAUCCUGCAGUACAGAACGAUCUGCUGCACCUCAUUAUCAUUCUGCUAAAGGAGGAAAAAUGUUCUGGUCGUUGGUACGUAGAGCUGAAGGGAGGAGAAAGACGGCAGGUUUCUACUGUUUUUACAUCAACGUAAUGCUCACAGUACACUGAGUUCUCUCUACCUGCAGCAUUAAUUAAAGAUAAAUCAACAUAUAAAGACAACAUAUGCAGCACAUAAAUCCUUUGAACCUGCUUAUUUUAUACUGAAAUUAUAAGAUCAGAGCAGCUGCACAUAAUCACAGACUUUCUGAAAACAGAUCAACCGGUGAUUCAGCAGAACAUUGAGGCCAUUUCCACACAGAUACUUACAGAGAUGAAAACUGUCAUCGUUUCUACUACUAAUGACGGUGAAAACUAAAACUGACAAGUGAUUCUGACAUGUAGGAACAGAAUAUGUUUGUCUACGUUUGUGCUGCUGUUUGCUUCUGCAUGCUUUGGGGCUCAGACAGAGGUGGACUAUAAACAUGGAGUCCUGCCUUAAAUUCUAUUUAUUUUCCAUUUCUCAUUAAUUUUAAAGUAUCUAAACAUGGCUAACAUGAAACAUACACUGACCUGGUAUAUGUCAGGUUAAACAGAGUGGUGGAGGAGCUGAAUACAAACAAAAGACACAGCAGAGUAUUUGAAACUAAAUGAAGUCUUACUGUGACUGGUUCCUGUGGGAGCUGAACUGGUUUGACUUCACUGCUCACCUCCACACUCUCCUUCACUUUCCUACAGAGACGAGCAGAACAAUCUCAGCACACGCAGCUGGAAGCGUGACAGCUGGAAAACCACUGCACAGUAAACACGUGAAACAGCUUUAGACACAAUAAGUGGAGAGGCCUGGCUGUGGCUGUGGAUUGGUAACGGUGUUUAACGCAAGAACGAGCAGCAAAGAAAUGCAGAGGAAAGGUGAAAAUAGAGCAUUAAGUGGAACAGCCAGAGGAGAGAACAUCCAGCUGCUGUCUCAGAGAUACUCACUGCUGAAGGACUGAUUCAGGCUCUUCUGGCAGUGAUGUGUUGGAGCUGCUGCUUCUGACUGGACCCUGAAAACACAGCGACCAUCGGGGCGUUUAUGAGUGUGUUUGUGACUUUACUUUUUACCUUUUGAUGACAUGAGACUCGGUGAACAAACCUGGGUGUUGCUGUUAGCAGCAGCUCUGGUUGUUGUGACGUCGCUCGUCGUAGAAAGAGGAGGGAAACUCGUCAGACCGAGUUCGAGAGGAGACGGCUGACGAGGAGGCGUUUGACUCUGUGGAUUUUACACAAACACACAGUCAACACAAUGUCUCAACAAAUAACGCUUUUCCACCAGCACCUACUCAGCUUGACUCUACUCUGUGUGAGGUUUUCCAUUAGGACGCAGUACCAGGUAUCAUUCUGGUACCUACUCGGCCGGGGUUCUGAGUCAAGCUGAUAAUGCGACGUCUACAGAGUGCAGGCCACUGAUUGGACAGGGAGUGAUGACGCACGAGAGCCACUCCUUCACGAAAACCAAACCCACCAUUUAAAAAAAUAAAAAUAAAAAAUGGCCACAGCAACGGAGUGCUUUUACUUUGAAUCUGAUAAAAAGCCACAGGCCGAGCAGCAGGUCUACCAUGUCCUCCACUGUUGUGUUUUUGUUGCACACAAAUGACAUUAAGAGACUUCCGGGCCGCUGUACUGUGACAAGUCCACCCAUGAUGAGGUGGUACUUAACUGUAAUGGAAAAUGACCUAAACCGAGCCGAGUCGCGUUGAGCCAAGUCAAUGCUGGUGGAGAAGCACCUAAAAUGAACUAAAACAUCAACACUGAUCUGUAGCUGCUUAUUAGGGAUCAACUCGUGUUGUUUUUCAGACCCAACGUGUAAAAAUCUUGGUGUAGAAACGCAGACUGGCACAAAAUCCAACCUCAAACUUUGUAGAACUGCCUUUGUUUUUGAUGUUUUACAUUUGCUUCAUUAAAAGAGAACAUUUCAGCA
Acanthochromis polyacanthus (spiny chromis) is the source of this 2661-nucleotide long non-coding RNA. RefSeq lists it as uncharacterized. The record is from RefSeq and is a predicted model, not a curated record. The transcript is spliced from 2 exons. Lineage: Eukaryota; Metazoa; Chordata; Actinopteri; Pomacentridae.